Molecule: long non-coding RNA, 479 nt
Filed under: Anas platyrhynchos platyrhynchos (common mallard)
Lineage: Eukaryota; Metazoa; Chordata; Aves; Anseriformes; Anatidae
Description: lncRNA (ENSAPLG00000024829.1)
Source: RNAcentral
UAUCCUGGUGAUCACAGACAAAAUUACUGGGGGACACCUAACCUUUAUGCAAAUAUCUUACUAACUCCAGAGUGGAUCUGAGCUGGCCCAGAAAACUGAGUUCAGCUGUGGGAUCUUUGCCCAGGGUCGGGACAAGAUGAAUUAAUAAUAAAUUAGCCAGUUAUUACCAGACUGGGUGUGCCUUGCAUUAAAAACAACAAAUCCCCCGCACCCAAAAGAGGAGGCAUCUCUGAUAGACCUUGACUGAAGUCCAGGAGUACGGAGGUGUUAGUGGAGCAGGUUCUGGUUGUGAAAGAUUCUGGUCAUCACAUUAAUCUGUUGUCAUCAACUCCCAGGGCUGACUUCUGAAAGCGUAUAAAAGCCUCCUGGUUGGGAGGCUCCUUAAACCAGGUGGCUCUUUCUUCCCUUCCUCCAACAGCAGAAGACGCUAGGUUUAGCCAAAAUGUCUUCCCACCAGCAGAAGCAGCAGCAGCAAAUGC